Molecule: unclassified non-coding RNA, 22 nt
Filed under: Chlamydomonas reinhardtii
Lineage: Eukaryota; Viridiplantae; Chlorophyta; Chlorophyceae; Chlamydomonadales; Chlamydomonadaceae
Description: small RNA Cre_0716
Source: RNAcentral
AUGACGUGUUCAGCGCGUGCGG